GCCGAGGUGGCGGAAUUGGUAGACGCGCAUGGUUCAGGUCCAUGUGGGGGUAACCCCGUGGAGGUUCAAGUCCUCUCCUCGGCACCA
This 87-nucleotide transfer RNA is filed under the name Thiotrichales bacterium. Its description in RNAcentral is "tRNA-Leu". It matches the Rfam family "tRNA". Rfam says of the family: Transfer RNA (tRNA) molecules are approximately 80 nucleotides in length. Their secondary structure includes four short double-helical elements and three loops (D, anti-codon, and T loops). The record is from RNAcentral. Lineage: Bacteria; Pseudomonadati; Pseudomonadota; Gammaproteobacteria; Thiotrichales.